RNAcentral lists this ribosomal RNA (477 nucleotides) under uncultured bacterium. Its description in RNAcentral is "partial 16S ribosomal RNA". It matches the Rfam family "Bacterial small subunit ribosomal RNA", at positions 30 to 507 of the family's 1533-position model. The record is from RNAcentral.
AUUGAACGCUGGCGGCAUGCCUUACACAUGCAAGUCGAACGGUAACAGGUUAAGCUGUCGCGUGGCGAACGGGUGAGUAAUGUAUCGGAACGUGCCCCGUCGUGGGGGAUAACUGCUCGAAAGAGCAGCUAAUACCGCAUACGACCUGAGGGUGAAAGCGGGGGAUCGCAAGACCUCGCGCGAUUGGAGCGGCCGAUAUCAGAUUAGGUAGUUGGUGAGGUAAAGGCUCACCAAGCCGACGAUCUGUAGCUGGUCUGAGAGGACGACCAGCCACACUGGGACUGAGACACGGCCCAGACUCCUACGGGAGGCAGCAGUGGGGAAUUUUGGACAAUGGGCGCAAGCCUGAUCCAGCCAUGCCGCGUGCGGGAAGAAGGCCUUCGGGUUGUAAACCGCUUUUGUCAGGGAAGAAAAGGUUCUGGCUAAUACCUGGGACUCAUGACGGUACCUGAAGAAUAAGCACCGGCUAACUACGUG